Molecule: ribosomal RNA, 252 nt
Filed under: uncultured Bacteroidales bacterium
Lineage: Bacteria; Pseudomonadati; Bacteroidota; Bacteroidia; Bacteroidales
Description: partial 16S ribosomal RNA
Rfam family: Bacterial small subunit ribosomal RNA
Source: RNAcentral
UACGGAGGAUUCAAGCGUUAUCCGGAUUUAUUGGGUUUAAAGGGUGCGUAGGCGGACGGUCAAGUCAGCGGUAAAAAUGCGGUGCUCAACGCCGUACAGCCGUUGAAACUGAUGAUCUUGAGUGGGCGAGAAGUAUGCGGAAUGCGUGGUGUAGCGGUGAAAUGCAUAGAUAUCACGCAGAACUCCGAUUGCGAAGGCAGCAUACCGGCGCUCAACUGACGCUCAUGCACGAAAGCGUGGGUAGCGAACAGG